GGGUACAUGGUCUAGUGGUAUGAUUUUCGCUUCGCAUAGUGUUCACACAACUGCCCUGUGAAAGGUCCCCGGUUCAAUCCCGGGUGUAUCCA
Non-coding RNA from Lasiosphaeria miniovina, 92 nucleotides. The record is from the annotation of a RefSeq genome assembly. Lineage: Eukaryota; Fungi; Ascomycota; Sordariomycetes; Sordariales; Lasiosphaeriaceae.